GAGAGAACAGGAGAAGAAGGAGGAGGUACAGAAGGACUUGGUGUGCUAUUAUGCACAUUUCACAGAUGGCACAGAGUGGGGAAGUCAGUGACCCAAGGUGGCAAGAUAAGGAGACUGAAGCAUCUAGAGUUGGAGUAAUUUCCACAAGAUCACAGAGGCAAGAUUUCACUCUGUCACCCAGACUGGAGUGCAGUGGCACAAACAUAGCUCACUGAAGCCUCAAACUCCUGGGCUCAAGAGAUCCUUCUGCUUCAGCCUCCUGAGUAGCUGGGACUUCAGCAAUGAGGACUCAUUCUGUCCAGGCUGUCUCAGAGUCCUGGGCUCAAGUGAUCCUUCAUCUCAGCCUCCCUAGUAGCUGGGACUACAAGUAUCUGCCACUGUUCCCAGCUCAACUGGAUUUUUAGCAGAACAAAAUCUGGGUGUUUUCAAUGACACUAUUCCCUACCUGCCUCUGCAAACAAUAAAGUCCUUACAUUGUUAGAUUGACUUUAGGAUCUUGGUUAGAGCCUGCUAUCACUCUGUGUCUGUGCCCUGUUAUGGGAACAGAAGUUUCUCCUCAUUCCAGAUUUUAGUUAGUAAAUUGGGAAAAUUUCCUUCCUGGCUGUUGUGCCUGAAGCUAUAGCUUGUUGGUUUCUGAUUUUUUUUUUUGUCUUUUACAUCUGAUAACAUAUUUAACUCUAUUGUCCACUUGCAGCUCAGGCUUGACUGACUUGUGUUUGUAUAAUUCUAGUAAAUAAAAUAGCCCCCAAAAAAGACUUUUGUGAAAACUAUGGUAGAUCACAACCUUCAACAAAUCUUCAUCUUGCAAUGCAGGGAAAAGGCACAUCAAUAUUUACUGGAGUCAGAAAACACUCCCCAGCAGGUGCAUAAUUACUUUUAUGAAGGAUGCCUGUGACUCAUUCCUGCCCUGCCUACACAGGACGCCUCUCCUCAUUAGCUUGCGAUAUUAUCUGUCUUUGUAUGAAGGUCAUUUUGAAUCUAACAGCCAGGAUAAUCACAUGGAAGAAUUACUGGAAAAAUCCCCACUCAUGUAAUUGCUAACAUAAUAAAGUUUCAAAUUAGAUAUCAAA
Molecule: long non-coding RNA, 1070 nt
Organism: Homo sapiens (human)
Lineage: Eukaryota; Metazoa; Chordata; Mammalia; Primates; Hominidae
Product: long intergenic non-protein coding RNA 970
Source: Ensembl